CGCCUUCAUGUGUUGCCCAUCCAUUGCUCUCUACAAUGGAUGUGGUGUCAGAGAAGGCGAACAUUAAACCUUGGGUCGGCCUUAGUAGGGUUCCUUCAUGGUGACCCUGUCCUAAGUUCUACACCAAGAACAUCA
Molecule: small nucleolar RNA, 135 nt
Organism: Gambusia affinis (western mosquitofish)
Lineage: Eukaryota; Metazoa; Chordata; Actinopteri; Cyprinodontiformes; Poeciliidae
Source: Ensembl